ACUGUUUUCAAUUAUCUGUGCCCUGUUCGGGGGUGGGUGGGGUGGGCGUAACCCCCCCCCCCCCCGAACAGGGCACAGAUAAUUGAAAAC
Non-coding RNA from Paramuricea clavata, 90 nucleotides. The record is from the annotation of a GenBank genome assembly. Lineage: Eukaryota; Metazoa; Cnidaria; Anthozoa; Malacalcyonacea; Plexauridae.